UGCCCUAGUUGGUAGGUCUCUAGACAUUACAGAGAACCUAAAACAAUCCAAUCUGCUAAUCUUCGAUACUGUUUUAUACUCACAACCUUAUAUCCACUGACUGUCUUGUUAGAUUAACCAAAAAAUUUUCAUUCACUCCGCAUACUCAAUCCUAUAGACACCCUUUUAAUUCUUUAAUCAUAGAGGUAACUUCGAUUUCACAACACCGUCAAGAGUAAUCUCACCCACUUCAUUAUAA
This 238-nucleotide long non-coding RNA is filed under the name Physcomitrium patens. Its description in RNAcentral is "long non-coding RNA (PPAT_LNC009923)". Lineage: Eukaryota; Viridiplantae; Streptophyta; Bryopsida; Funariales; Funariaceae. The record is from RNAcentral.